RNA transcript from Paramisgurnus dabryanus, 1327 nucleotides. RefSeq lists it as uncharacterized. The record is from RefSeq and is a predicted model, not a curated record. NCBI's taxonomy places the organism in Eukaryota, Metazoa, Chordata, Actinopteri, Cypriniformes, Cobitidae.
GCUCCUUUUAUUGUUUAAAUUUCUUUUCAUUUUUUAUUGAGAGUUAUUUUAGCUUCUAGUUGAAUAAAGAUUUAAGCUCCUAUUUUAAGACUCAGACAUGAAGGUCAACUCAGAACUGCAGUGGAUUUAGGCCUUACAACCAACCAUUUACCCUGGAAACAUGAUAGCUGGAUCACAAAAAGUGUCUAAGGAAGAGUGAGUACAUUUAUGCAUCCAUUUUUUGUUCCUUCACAAACUUUAACAAAGAGUGUGCACACUGAAGAUUCUCAAAGGAAGUGGAUGUACAAGUUCUUCACUUCUCACAACUCCAGGAAGCUCCACUGAUCCAGCUCCAUGAGGGUAAAACUCUGUUGAAGGACAAAGAGGAAUUGUUUUAAUUCACUAUAACAGAAGUUUGCUUGUUUGUUUGUUGUUUUGGUUGAAGACAUUGCAAUGAUUCAGGGAGGCCACUAGAUGGGACUAAAGGAUAGAUUUCCUUUCCCCUCUUUUCUUUUAUAAGCCAAGGAUUUUGAAUCCAGUAUAGAACCCUUAAUCAUGUCUCUUCCCCUCCAUAAUCGCUUUACGCCUCUGAUGGAUACCACAUCUUCAGGAAGAUGUAUCUGCUCGUGCCACUGAACCCAAUGUAGUUCUCCCUGCGCCUCCUGGUGUCAACUUGGCGUUGAUUCAGGUCCAUCGUGCAGCCUCCCCGCAGCCCCGUAGGGAUGAAACUGAGAAUAUAGAAUCUGAAACGAGUGAAACACAGGGUUCCUCGAACGACGGUAGGGGAGACCCCUGUAACGGUUAACAAAAAACAGGAGGGAGAGCGACAAAUGAUGACGGGUGAUAUGACAAGAGAGAUGUCUCUUGGAAUCAAACCCCAGUCUGAGUCCCUUUCACAUACCCCUGUGAUGAGCCCUCUGGGGGGUCCUGCCCCGUCCGUUCGUCAGGAACCUGUGAGGCACAGGAGAACAAACAGGAAAAUUUUCGAUUGGGAAAUUUCAAUUAACAAAAAAGUAGUAAUAAUGGGUGAUUCGAAUCUGUCCCGAGUUCCAUUCUUCACCCAUGCUGACGUACAAAUUGACAGCUUUCCUGGGGCCACCUUUUAUCACAUUAAUGGGGUGCUGGAAAAAUUAUCACCACAACUCUUUACGGAGGUUGUCGUUCUGUCAGUGGGACUUAAUAAUUGUCUGGCAAGACAGGAAACGACAACGUCAUGUAAACAGUUACAACAGUUAUUGAGAACGUGUAGAUUGAAAUUUCCUAACGCUCAGGUCUUCGUCCCCUUGAUUAAUUUUGCUGAUGCUUUGGAAAAGGACGUACAAUUGCUUAUUGGUAAAUUGAAUGUUUU